This 3642-nucleotide long non-coding RNA is filed under the name Oryza brachyantha (malo sina). RNAcentral's name for it is "long non-coding RNA (OBRA_LNC002533)". Lineage: Eukaryota; Viridiplantae; Streptophyta; Magnoliopsida; Poales; Poaceae. The record is from RNAcentral.
CUGGAUCAUCAUCCUCUCCUGAUAACUAUUUUUUCCGUUCUUUUUUGUGCUGCUGCUGGCUAUUAAUAAGUAUGGAGUCUUCAAGGUGUAAGAUUAAGCAACAAUAAGCUAUCCUUUUGGUUUUCAACUUACAGCGUAUUGCUGGAGUUGGAGGACUAAUGCCUGAAGGUUGUUGGAGUCCUUCCUGGAGUUGAGUUCAUAAGGAGGAUUAUAAUUAUGAUCAUAUAUAGGAACAGUCAGCAUUUUGAUGUUUCUUUUCUUCUUUGAAAGAAAAGAGUGAAGCUAUGCCAUUGCAUAGUUGUUUUGUGCUUGUAUACAUUAUCAAUGAAAACUGAACAAAAGUAUACCUGUUGUACCAGAUGAUUGCUGAAGGUGUAUUUAUCCACUCCAGAUGUAGCGUCUGUCCUUGAUAUGAUUGUCUUAGUACAUGCAUAAGACACUGAAAACAAAGGCAUCUUCAUUAGUUGUAUCUCAUGGGAGAACUUCUUCACUAUGUUAUUGAGAUCCAUGCAUGAUAUAACUGGUUGAGAGUUGAGACGUGUAUAUGCAUAUGCAUACAUAUGGUUGCAUAUGCAUACAUAUUCAUCAGCAAUAGGUUUGGUCAUGGAGAUACAAGUCUAUAGCUUUAGUGAAGAGUCAAUGCGGAGAACUAAUACCCAAUUCUAUUUUGAUUUUGCAAAGUUUCCAGAAGAAACACCAGGUCAUAUUUUCAAAUUUCAUCAAAUAUAUCUGAAAAAUAAAUCAAGUUGUUAUUUCAAACAUUUCUGCAAAUGCUGAAACCUAUUUGCAGUAACAAUAUUUAAAAUUAAUAGUAUUGCAUGCAGAGAACUAUAUUCGGUAAGUGUGGCCUAAAUAAAAUAGUUUCCACUAAAUACAUAAGCAAUGCAAACCAUGGUAGUGAUAAAGAAGCUUAAACUAUUAAAUUCACAAAAGUUUUCAAGGAAUACUAAUUUCACAAGCAAGAUCAGAAGCUACCACACGCUGUUAACACAUAGCAGUAACCCUGGAAUGCCAAUCAGAAAUUCAGGAUCCAUCCUAAGUCAAUCAAUGUAAAGCUCGGAGCAGCUUUGUACCUGGAAGUCUAGGGAAGUGUUUUUCACAAAAUAUAGUAGAAGAGCUGCAAUAGCAUUUCCUUUCAUCACAUGGUGAAGAACCACUUUUAUGUAUAUUUCGGCAAAAGAAAUGCAAUGUGGAGUCAUCUUUACUAGAGUCAGAUCUCUCUAGUACCACAGAAGUAAAAUUAAAGUUCAGCAUUUACCUUAUAGAAGUCUUCAUUGUGAAUCUUACUUCAAGCGUGUUCCCUCUGAAUUCUUCAGAAUGCCCAGCAGGUCAAUCGUGGACGUAGCAGGACCUUUGAACCACUUCACCGUCUCCAUGGGAAUAUCAACUACAAAGUAAUUGCAAAUCUACAUUUAGCAACAAAUUUGCUUUAGACCACAUGCAUCUGAAGGAGAUGACUAUCUUUUCCUGUAGAAUUAGAUAAGACUACUUGCAGGCUCUUUACAAGCCUCAUUGUCAUUGUAGUGCUGGAGAAGUUAAGGAAAGGGGAGAAGGAAGUUAGGGUUCAACAGCACAUAGUUAUCCCCUGCUGUUGUUGAUGUUACAUAACAUAAUUCUUGUAUUGAGAUUGUGAUCCUUAAUCUAACAAAGGGAGAAUUUACACCAUUGUUUUCAAUUUCUGUCGGAAGUAUCUUUCAACAGAAGAUAGUGAAGCAUAUGCUUCUGGAAAACAUAUAUAUGAUACACAAAGAUGUGGAUGAUCCUUAGUUCUCAACUAAUCUUUUAUCAGAAUCCAAAGCUGAAAGUUUUGUCUGAUCUAGAUGGCUAAAUAGCUAGCAAUGCAAGCUCAUUGACACUAGAGGACCUCAUGGCUGCAUGAUGAACCUUUCAUUUCUUUUUUAUCUUCCUAAACUUUUCAUUUUACAAUGCCGAUCCCAAGGCACAGAGACAUGUGGCUCCAACGCUGCCUUUAACCCUCUUCUCUAUGACACUUCAAAGGGAUUAAGCUUGUGAGACACAAAAACAAGUUCAGUAAAAGAAUGCACACUACCGGAAGGCCCAAGCUGGCCAGCGAUCGACGCCGUGACAACUUUCUCAUUCUAAUGGAACCCCGCACAAUCUAGCAGCAUUGAGGAUCAUAAAAGAGUGUUAUCCAGAAAAAAACAUAACAAAAGCCGGUUUCGUUUAAAAGAGAAGAAAAGAAGAUCCUGUGGUGCUGUAAGACGUCCCAGAGCUUGUGUGAGAAUCUUUAAAAGACAAACACAGCUACUUGUAGGGCAGGCUUUGAAUCAUUUCACGGAGGAGCUAAAGAGCACAGUCGCCGGAAGCAGAAGGGAAAGACAAAGGAUAAAGACAAAGAGAAAGAUCAGCAAGAAAGGAGACGGCGAACUGUGAGGCCAUGGCGCCGGUUGGUCUCCCUCCAGGCUUUAGAUUUCAUCCAACUGAUGAGGAGCUUGUGAACUACUACCUCAAGAGGAAGGUCCAUGGCCUCAGCAUCGACCUCGACAUAAUCCCAGAGGUAGACCUCUACAAAUGUGAGCCCUGGGAGUUGGCAGGUAAUCUGAAAUCUUAACUUCUCAUCCAUGGAUCUUAUUUUCAUCACUCUUGAUUCAACUUGAGAUGUUUUCUUGUUUCGAUAGAGAAAUCCUUCCUGCCUAGUAAAGACUCUGAGUGGUACUUCUUUGGGCCAAGGGAUAGGAAGUAUCCAAAUGGAUGCCGCACAAACCGCGCAACGAGAGCAGGAUACUGGAAAUCAACAGGGAAAGAUCGGCGGAUCAACUACCAGAGCAGAUCAAUUGGUAUGAAGAAGACACUAGUCUAUUACAAAGGUCGAGCUCCUCAGGGGAUCAGAACCAGUUGGGUGAUGCAUGAGUACCGCAUCGAGGAAAGCGAAUGCGAGAACGCCAUGGGGAAUCAGGUUAUUCAUCCAUCCUCUUCAUCAGCUGUUACUAUUUAGUAUCUGUUAAAUCGUUGUGAGUUGUAUCUGUUGAAGUACUUAGUUAGCUGAGCUGCUGUGGCUGAAUUUCAGGGUAUUAAGCAUAGCUAAUCUUCUCAGAUAGAAGGAUUUGUGUGUAUUUAUGUUAUGCAAUAGUGAUCAGAUAUCAUAAUAUGCAAGAUUUCAGAUAUGUGCUUUGCUAAAACAAAAUUUGCAAUAGAAACAUACAGAAGAAAUAACUAGGGCAUAUUUGCUAGUUCAGGGAACCUACGUUCUUUAUGCAUGGAGUGCAUGAAAAGUUAGGGCUCUUCUCUCUUUUUCCCCCCAUAUCCAUCAGUGAUAGCCAUAAAGUAUUCCUUGCUUCCAUGGACCAUAGCUACUUUACAAAGUACAGUAGAAGGUUUUCUCAGUUCUCUAAUGGGGUCACACAUGGUUCACUUUUCUAGGUGCCCUUGAUAAGACAAAUUUAACAUCCAAUUCUUGGUUCAUGUCGUGAUGAUACGAAAUCAUGCAACAUGAUUGUACAUAGGUUAGGUGCGUCAUCGUUUCACACUUUCAUGGUGAAGAGUAUAAAAAUCUAGGUCAGUUGCAUGUUGAUGCUACCUUAAAGCUUAGACAUCCUUCAGUGUGGCCCAGUGUUGUGUCGGUGGCUUUACCCUUUAUUCUCCCCAUCAACCUCCAACUUUACUGGCUAGUAAAAACCAUAA